RNAcentral lists this small RNA (134 nucleotides) under Arabidopsis thaliana (thale cress). Its description in RNAcentral is "ATSL005980". The record is from RNAcentral. Lineage: Eukaryota; Viridiplantae; Streptophyta; Magnoliopsida; Brassicales; Brassicaceae.
UAAUGUUGUUGUUCGUUUUAUUGCCGCAGACGCUGCCGCUGCCGCAACCGCAGGUUUAUUUGUUCGUUUUGACGCCGCUACGAUAAUUUUCAUGUAAUUCUUUUAUUUACUUUUCUAGUUAUAUUCUGAAUAUA